This 253-nucleotide ribosomal RNA is filed under the name uncultured bacterium. Its description in RNAcentral is "partial 16S ribosomal RNA". It matches the Rfam family "Bacterial small subunit ribosomal RNA", at positions 524 to 776 of the family's 1533-position model. The record is from RNAcentral.
UACAGAGGUGGCAAGCGUUGUUCGGAAUUACUGGGCGUAAAGCGUGCGCAGGCGGUUCUGCAAGACAGAUGUGAAAUCCCCGGGCUUAACCUGGGAACCGCAUUUGUGACUGCAUAGCUGGAGUACGGCAGAGGGGGAUGGAAUUCCGCGUGUAGCAGUGAAAUGCGUAGAUAUGCGGAGGAACACCGAUGGCGAAGGCAGUCCCCUGGGCCUGUACUGACGCUCAUGCACGAAAGCGUGGGGAGCAAACAGG